This 415-nucleotide ribosomal RNA is filed under the name uncultured bacterium. Its description in RNAcentral is "bacterial SSU rRNA". It matches the Rfam family "Bacterial small subunit ribosomal RNA", at positions 29 to 429 of the family's 1533-position model. The record is from RNAcentral.
AACGAACGCUGGCGGCGUGCCUAACACAUGCAAGUCGUGCGAGAAAGUUCCUUCGGGAGCGAGUAAAGCGGCGCACGGGUGAGUAACACGUAGGUAACCUGCCCCCCAGUCUGGAACAACUAGAGGAAACUCUAGCUAAUGCCGGAUGAGACCACGAUCCCUUCGGGGGUUGCGGCCUAAGAUGGCCUCUACUUGUAAGCUAUCGCUGAGGGAUGGGCCUGCGGGCCAUUAGCUUGUUGGUGAGGUAACGGCUCACCAAGGCUGCGAUGGCUAGCUGGUCUGAGAGGAUGACCAGCCACACUGGGACUGAGACACGGCCCAGACUCCUACGGGAGGCAGCAGUGGGGAAUAUUGCGCAAUGGGCGAAAGCCCGACGCAGCGACGCCGCGUGGGUGAUGAAGGCCUCGGUCGUAAG